CCAACCCGGUGCCGCCAGUAAGAAUCCAAGCCGCCUUUCGUUUCUUUAUACUUACCAAUGCUCUUGGUUUGAAAUUCACUUCUAUUCAUGAGAAAAGUGAUCCAUUUUGGCGAAGGGGCCCCAAAGUGACCGCCCAAAAGAACACCAAGCCGCCACCAAAGAAGAAGAAGAAAACAAGCAAAAGUAAAGCCGCCGCCAAAGAUUUAUCUAAUCUCGGCGAGUCACGAGCUGAGGAAGAGUAGUCAGAGGGCGAGGACAAUGAGAGCCAAGAUGAUGCGGUCGAGAAAGCAAGAUAUACCCCCAAGCGCAAAACCCGUAGUCACUCUGGGGACUUAAUCUCCGGACUGCCCGAGAAGACAACCGGUCGGAAGCGCACCAGCGAGAGUUCUCCCCCUACAUCUGGCGACUCAGCAAUGUCAGCUC
Hordeum vulgare subsp. vulgare (domesticated barley) is the source of this 423-nucleotide long non-coding RNA. RefSeq lists it as uncharacterized. The record is from RefSeq and is a predicted model, not a curated record. The transcript has 4 exons. NCBI's taxonomy places the organism in Eukaryota, Viridiplantae, Streptophyta, Magnoliopsida, Poales, Poaceae.